Small nucleolar RNA from Cheilinus undulatus (humphead wrasse), 121 nucleotides. The record is from RefSeq and is a predicted model, not a curated record. Lineage: Eukaryota; Metazoa; Chordata; Actinopteri; Labriformes; Labridae.
CUCCAAUGAUGAUUCAGCCAUGCUAAUACUGAUACAGCCAGGCAGAUAAACGCCAUCUGUCUGGUGUAAGUGAGUUCAACUCACCUUCUCACACUGAUGGUAUCAGUGUGUGCUGAGGAGA